UACAGAGGGUGCAAACGUUGCUCGGAAUUAUUGGGCGUAAAGCGCACGUAGGCGGCCUGGUAAGUCUCACUGUGAAAGCCCGGGGCUCAACCCCGGGAGGCCAGGGGAUACUGCAAGGCUGGAGACAGGUAGAGGCUGGUAGAAUUCCGGGUGUAGCGGUGGAAUGCGUAGAGAUCCGGAGGAAUACCUGAGGCGAAGGCGGCCAGCUGGGCCUGAUCUGACGCUGAGGUGCGAAAGCGUGGGGAGCGAACAGG
Molecule: ribosomal RNA, 254 nt
Filed under: uncultured bacterium
Lineage: Bacteria
Description: partial 16S ribosomal RNA
Rfam family: Bacterial small subunit ribosomal RNA
Source: RNAcentral